GACGAACGCUGGCGGCGUGCUUAACACAUGCAAGUCGAACGGAAAGGCCUGCUUUCCCUUGUGGAUUGCGGGUACUCGAGUGGCGAACGGGUGAGUAACACGUGAGUGAUCUGCCCCCAACUUGGGUAUAAGCCUGGGAAACUGGGUCUAAUUCCCGAUAGGACUGCAGGGUGGUGCCUGUGGUGGAAAACGAUUUUCUAGUGGUUGGGGAUGAGCUCGCGGCCUAUCAGCUUGUUGGUGGGGUAAUGGCCUACCAAGGCGGCGACGGGUAGCCGGCCUGAGAGGGUGGACGGCCACAUUGGGACUGAGAUACGGCCCAGACUCCUACGGGAGGCAGCAGUGGGGAAUAUUGCACAAUGGGCGGAAGCCUGAUGCAGCGACGCCGCGUGGGGGAUGACGGCCUUCGGGUUGUAAACUCCUUUCGACCGCGAGGAAGCCACCUGGUUGGAAGGGUGGUGACGGUAGGGGUAGAAGAAGCACCGGCUAACUACG
RNAcentral lists this ribosomal RNA (492 nucleotides) under uncultured bacterium. RNAcentral's name for it is "partial 16S ribosomal RNA". It matches the Rfam family "Bacterial small subunit ribosomal RNA", at positions 28 to 505 of the family's 1533-position model. The record is from RNAcentral.